GGGCCUAUAGCUCAGUUGGUUAGUAGCGGCGCCCUCAUAAGGCGAAGGUCCAAGGUUCAAGCCCUUGUAGGCCCA
RNAcentral lists this transfer RNA (75 nucleotides) under Bacteroidales bacterium. RNAcentral's name for it is "tRNA-Ile". It matches the Rfam family "tRNA". Rfam says of the family: Transfer RNA (tRNA) molecules are approximately 80 nucleotides in length. Their secondary structure includes four short double-helical elements and three loops (D, anti-codon, and T loops). Further hydrogen bonds mediate the characteristic L-shaped molecular structure. tRNAs have two regions of fundamental functional importance: the anti-codon, which is responsible for specific mRNA codon recognition, and the 3' end, to which the tRNAs corresponding amino acid is attached (by aminoacyl-tRNA synthetases). tRNAs cope with the degeneracy of the genetic code in two manners: having more than one tRNA (with a specific anti-codon) for a particular amino acid; and 'wobble' base-pairing, i.e. permitting non-standard base-pairing at the 3rd anti-codon position. Lineage: Bacteria; Pseudomonadati; Bacteroidota; Bacteroidia; Bacteroidales. The record is from RNAcentral.